RNAcentral lists this unclassified non-coding RNA (3808 nucleotides) under Hevea brasiliensis (rubber tree). The record is from RNAcentral. Lineage: Eukaryota; Viridiplantae; Streptophyta; Magnoliopsida; Malpighiales; Euphorbiaceae.
GUCCGAAUGUAGCUCUGCCCCUGCAAGAGUACGGUGCAAAAAUAUUUCUGAACUGCUACAAAAACUGUUCACAUUCUUCCCGCAUUUACAAGCAUCUAUUUUCAUUUCCAAGUUCCAACUACAAACUUAGAAAUGCUAUAUAAUUACACAUGUGAAUGCAAAAAUAUUAUAAUUACAUAAGCUUUAAUAUCUAACUGGCCUGCAAUUCAAGUAUGCUAUUUGAGCUGCUUCACUUUUCUGCCUAAUGUCCUCGUACAUUUUCAGUGAAGCCUCAGAAAAUUUGUUCAGUCUAUCAAGAACCUUUGUCAAACUUGCUUGUAUGCAGCUCAAGCUUGAAGCAGCCUCAUCAUUUUUCUCAUCAUCUUUGCUCCCCGAUUCUCCAUUAUUUUCAUCAAUUAAUUUCUCCUUGUUUGGUAAUUGUUCCACCUGUUGCUCCAUUAAAUGGCAAAGGUCAGAUAUGAAGGUUUUGAUGGCAUUGCCAAGUUCCUCAGAUGGCAAAGCUUUUAUGCCAGCUGACCAAUCACGACAAAGAACAAAAAUAGGAGGGGCCAGGGCUCGACGAGGGGAGAAUGGUUUCCUGCUCUUGGAACGCUCUUGUGGUUGCAGAAUACAGUUUUGCAGCCAUCCAUUGAGGGCUUCCACAUAGGACGCAUGACUGUUAACCCAGUUUGCAAAGCUCAGGCCAAAACACUCUAUCUCCUCCACGAGCUGAGCCACAAUCUGCCUGCGAGUAUCUCCCUGUGGAGUUCCUGUUGUAUUUCUUGAAUGGUAUGCCAAAGAGAUGGUGAUGUACUGCGCAUGAUGGCAUUCAAGCAUAGCCUUCCACAUCCUGAUCAGCCCUUGAAUUAGCUCUAGAAGUUGAGGCUGCAACUCUUCAUCUCGCAUUUUCUCAAUCCGCUUUGAUAUUGUAUCAACAGAAUGAAUUGCAACUAUUAUCCUUGAAUGUAGAUCCUUCACAACUGCACGUGUCUUGUCAAUCACUUGAGCACUAUGAUCCUUGGCAAAUUGAUGCCUUAGUUGGUCACAUUUCUGAUCAUAAUCCUUCCUGAUAGAUUCACUGGCCUUUACUUCAUCAUAUAGUUUUCUUUCCCAUGCAUAUAGCCUAUCAAGGGUAGAAGAGUGACUUCCAGCAAUCAUGCAGAACUCUUCAACAAAAUCACUACCACUAUCAGAGAUAUCAUCUCUUGUUGCCACGGCAAGUGGAUUUCUUGAUGAAGAUGACCUUGAAGAUGCUGUCCGCUUCCAUGUAAUGACCUUAGUAACAUGUUCUGCAGGUUCUAAAAUGUUGGAGAAGACUAAAUGGUAUGAAAAGACAAGAAAUGCUGCGCCCAUUAAACUAGUAAAAAAGAGUAGGAAAAUCUAUAUCAAAUAAAUCUGCCUGCAAGUUGAAAUAAACUAUGGACUCAACACCCAUAAGCCAUAAGGCACCAAUGGGUACGUAUAGAUGGUGGCCCUAAAUGCCAAGAAUCAUUUGGCCCCAUGAGCAAAGUAAAUGAAAUAUUGAAUUGUUAAACAGUUACAACAUGCAUUUCCGAUUCUUUGUGCAACGGAUACAACCCAAAAAAGCAAUUUACACCGUUGAACAGGUUAUAAAUAUUUGGCAUUUGAUGCAACUUACUGCUGAAUCUGAUGAAAUCAGUAUAAAUCAGUUUCUGCACCUAAAACGUUACAAAUUCUUAAAAGCUGACCCAAAGCUUGAUUUGCUUGAAGUUAAGCUUACCAUGAGACACAAGUGCAGUCUUUCCACGGCAGCAUAUAUGGAAAGCUGUCAGAAAUGCUGAUGCAGACGAACUCCCUAUGACAAUCAAAGUUAUUACAAAGUAAUUUUGCAUAAAGAUUUAGCAAUGAAGAACCUACAUGAAUAAAAGCAUACAUGAAUUUGCAUUGCAGUGGACAAAUAAGGAACCUGCUUAUAAAUUAGCUGUUAAUUAUCAACAAAGACAAUUACCUUUCCUCUCAGAAUAUCCAACCCUUAUAUUGUUUGCCUCAAGCAUCCUCGAGACUUCCUUGCCAGAUUCAGAAGCUCUAAAGAAUCGAUGUUCUAUAUCCUUUAUGCUUGACAGAAAAUCUUUAGCCCUAUGGGUAAUGAACUCCGAUGGAUCUUCUCUCUCUGCAGAUAAAUCUUUCAUGGCCAUUUCUUUUUCUUUCUUUGAACCUGACCGCUCAAGAGUUAAACCAUUGGCAUUUUGGGCCAUUUCCACCUGUGCCCCUUGAAUAUCCAUUGGUUUUCUAGUAGAACCUUCAACUCCCAUCAAUCUACCUGAAUGAGCAUUACUAUCUACUCUUAUAACAUAACUGCCAUUACGUGUUGCAGAGUUACCAGAGGUUUCUAAAUCCUUUUUCUUCAGUCCAGGCCCUAUAAUUCCUUCAUGUCCUUGACCAUUUCCCUCUAAACUAACUUUCGUCCAUUUCCCCUUUGCAUCUACUAUAUUAUGGUCAAUGCCAACCCUUUCGCCCCUAAAUUCGUUCAAUCCUCUAGCAUCAUCAAAAUCCGCAUCCAAUUCAUUUUCCCUCACAAAUCUAAAACUUUCACAAUUAUUACUAGGAUCAAAAUAAUCCCAAGAACCACCCGACACAAAAGGAGGUGGUGGCGGUGGCAUUGGCAUGCAAAAUGACUCAUCCUCAACAAAACCAUCAGUACUAUUAUUCAAAUUAAUCUUGACAGUCACUGGAUUAGUAGCACCCCUAACUCUCAUGUAACUCAUAUUAAUCACUGGGGGUGAAAUGGGGCUUUCAUUAUGCAAGGGUGAAUCCGAAGCCUCUGGAACGUGAGAGGGAGAGGGAGAGGGGUAUGAAGAGUGUGAUGGAGUCUUGUAAAGUUCAGUGGCUGAGGUUGUUGAUAGAGAAGAUUCCAUCAAAAUCUCUGCUUCGGCAUAUCGCCGGAGAGCUAUGCCAAUGUUUUUCAAAGAGUUAAUAUAAGAGACAUGAGAUGCAGCGAGAUUGUACCUUGAAUCAAUUGCUUGCUUUAUGAAUCUCCUGCGUUCUUUGCAUAGGCGCAAAGCUUCAUUUCUGUCUGCUUUGGAGCUCGCAGAACCCAUAUUUUAGAGAAGAAAGGAAAACCCAGUUCAUGAAAUAAACUUCAUUUUUUAGUAUCUAAACAGAAUAUCUUAGAAUGAUGAAGACCUUGAAAAAUCAAAAUUUUUCAGUAGAAAUUGCAAGAACCGGUAAUGUAGACCAACUGCAUUUUCCUGGUGUCCAAAGAGAAAUAUCCUUAAAAGACCCAAAGAAAACAACUGAACAUAACACCUUGAACGACCAAACUUUUCACUACAAAUUUAACACCCCAUUUUAUGGAGCAAACUUCGGCCUUGGGAGUCUGUAAAAGAAAUACUUGGAAACAGUAAUAAAACCCACAACUUCAACGCUAGCAAAACGAAGGAAAUGAUAAUAAAGAAAAGGCAAAACCUUUUCUCCUUCAAAAUCCAACUUUAGAUUAGAACAGAGCAAGACAGAGCAACCUUUUUCCAGCCACAGGAGAUGAUGUGUUCUACAAGAAAUGAGAAACCCACUUGGAGAAAGCUUUUAUUAUAGGAUUGGGACAAGACAUAGAGUGAAAAUCGAAAACGAAGUAGAAAUGGUUGGACUUUUCUUUCAGGGUAGAACAGAGCACAGAAGAAAGCUAAAAGGCACAGUGGGAGCAGUUGUUUUCAGAGGAAGAAGGUAACAUUAAACAGCAAAGAGUAGUUGGGAAGUCAUAAAAUCAAAGCCAUUAACGGAAACCUGAAAGAUUGAAAGCAAUGAAUGUGAGGCCUGAGAUGCAUCACUCUUCAGGCUCCAAAAGCAAAGAUUUUGCAGAAGCAGAGAGAGA